Molecule: ribosomal RNA, 253 nt
Filed under: uncultured bacterium
Lineage: Bacteria
Description: partial 16S ribosomal RNA
Rfam family: Bacterial small subunit ribosomal RNA
Source: RNAcentral
UACGAAGGGGGCUAGCGUUGCUCGGAAUCACUGGGCGUAAAGCGCACGUAGGCGGAUCUUUAAGUCAGGGGUGAAAUCCUGGAGCUCAACUCCAGAACUGCCUUUGAUACUGGGGAUCUCGAGUCCGGAAGAGGUGAGUGGAACUCCGAGUGUAGAGGUGAAAUUCGUAGAUAUUCGGAAGAACACCAGUGGCGAAGGCGGCGGCCUGGGUUGACACUGACGCUGAGGCGCGAAAGCGUGGGGAGCAAACAGG